Molecule: microRNA precursor, 72 nt
Filed under: Strigamia maritima
Lineage: Eukaryota; Metazoa; Arthropoda; Chilopoda; Geophilomorpha; Linotaeniidae
Description: mir-10 microRNA precursor family
Rfam family: mir-10 microRNA precursor family
About the family: In this case the mature sequence comes from the 5' arm of the precursor.
Source: Rfam by way of RNAcentral
CUACAUCUACCCUGUAGAUCCGAAUUUGUAAGACAAUGAGAACAAAUUCGGUUCUAGAGAGGUUCGUGUGGU